UGCCAACCCGCGGGUUCCCUGGUGGGAGUGGCAGCAGAACAGGAGCACAGCAGCCAGGCUGGCUGCUGCCAGGGAAAGCAGCACACUGCAGCUCCCAGCAGCGCUGCUCCCAAAGCAGUGCUUUGUAUGCUGUGCCUGCAGGAGCUUUCAUCUCUUCCCAGGAAUCCUGGUGCCCAGCCGGGGCCUCAGACAGCUGAGAACUUCCUUAUGUCUAAAUCAGGGCAAUUUUCUAAUUGAGACAUUUGGAAAACCUGCUCCUUUUCCUCUGAGCAGCAUUCUCCAGGAGAACAUGGGACUGGGCAAGCACCUGCUGGCUGUGGCCACCAGCCAGGGCUGCAUGGACGGUGUCAGGAUUUUGGAUUAAAAACACGGCGAGUUUUUAUUCCCGCAAAAACAGGACAGGAAGUCAUCCCUGUUAAGCUCUGGGAUCCCAGGCAGCUGCGUG
This is a long non-coding RNA of Vidua chalybeata, 445 nucleotides long. RefSeq lists it as uncharacterized. The record is from RefSeq and is a predicted model, not a curated record. The transcript has 2 exons. Lineage: Eukaryota; Metazoa; Chordata; Aves; Passeriformes; Viduidae.